GACGAACGCUGGCGGCGUGCCUAAUACAUGCAAGUAGAACGCUGAAGCUUGGUGCUUGCCCCGAGCGGAUGAGUUGCGAACGGGUGAGUAACGCGUAGGUAACCUGCCUGGUAGCGGGGGAUAACUAUUGGAAACGAUAGCUAAUACCGCAUAAGAGUAGAUGUUGCAUGACAUUUGCUUAAAAGGUGCAAUUGCAUCACUACCAGAUGGACCUGCGUUGUAUUAGCUAGUUGGUGAGGUAACGGCUCACCAAGGCAAAGAUACAUAGCCGACCUGAGAGGGUGAUCGGCCACACUGGGACUGUGACCCGGCCCAGACUCCUACGGGAGGCAGCAGUAGGGAAUCUUCGGCAAUGGACGGAAGUCUGACCGAGCAACGCCGCGGGAGUGAAGAAGGGUGUCGGAUCGUAAAGCUCUGUUGUAAGAGAAGAACGAGUGUGAGAGUGGAAAGUUCACACUGUGACGGUAGCUUACCAGAAAGGGACGGCUAACUACGUG
RNAcentral lists this ribosomal RNA (497 nucleotides) under uncultured bacterium. RNAcentral's name for it is "partial 16S ribosomal RNA". It matches the Rfam family "Bacterial small subunit ribosomal RNA", at positions 28 to 507 of the family's 1533-position model. The record is from RNAcentral.